Molecule: microRNA, 22 nt
Filed under: Triticum aestivum (bread wheat)
Lineage: Eukaryota; Viridiplantae; Streptophyta; Magnoliopsida; Poales; Poaceae
Description: tae-miR9659-3p
Source: miRBase by way of RNAcentral
UCCAAUGGUUGUUCACGGCAUC